UGUUCCUCUCCCGCUCGCUCGCCGCUGUCUCCAAAUCCCUCUCCCCUCUCCGCGCCAGGAUCCCGCAACCCCGAUCCGCGCCGAAGCCCCAGCCGCUCUCGACCGGGCGGCCCGUGUCUCCGCCGCGCGCGGACUCCGCGUUUCCGCCACCCCCGCGUCGCCCGGCGACCCGGAGCCGCGCGCGCCCUGUGGGCGGUGGGUCGGAAGGCCUCCGUCGUUGCGCGGAGGGACGACCGGGGCGGGGUUUGAAUCGAGGCGACGAUGUGGCCUCCCCGCAUCCCCUGGCGCCACGGGGGCGUUGGCGGGGGGCCGGGCGGCGCCGAGGGAGGCUGCCGGCGCGGCGACGGCGGUGCCGGGCGUGUGCCGCUGGAUCUCGGCCUUGCCUGGACCGUGGGCCGCCAGUCGCGACGUUGAGCAGUAUUUCUAUCGUUAGUAUCAGGAGAGGAAUGCUCGUACACAAGUAUCUAAAGAGCAAAUGAGGUCAGCACCACUCACUGAGUUUUGAAGAAUGCAUUUUGCUUAUCCCUCCACAGUUGGUUAGAUUGCACGUUCUCAUAGCACAUAUCAAUCUUUAAUUAAAAGUCAUUUUCUUCAAUCAUUCCCUUUCCCUCUUACCCCUUUUUACGUGAGUGGCUUCUCUUUUUUAUGCUUAAGAUGGCUGCUUUGAGUGUUAAGAGACAAACACAACUAAAUAGCAAUAAUAAAAACUUCCAUUAAGAAAGGAUUUUGCAUUGAUGCUUUAACCUCUUGGAACCUGUUAUAUUGUAUCCCAUUUGUGAACCCAGUAUUUGUGGAGCAUUCUAAGGAAAGAUGGAUAUUUCUCGAACAGUUUCAGCGGAUAAUACACAGUUAGAGCCUGGUUGUAGAUAGGUAUUUCUCCUAGAAUGUUUGUGGUGUUCAAAUGAUCAUCGAGUAAAAGCCAAGCGAAGAACUUAAAUUUGCGCACGCACUUGCUUUUUCAAAUCCAUUUCAAGGGCAAAGGUGGAUGUAUAGCACUGAAACUGAAUUUAUAAAAUCUCCGAACAGCAUAUAUUAAAUUUAGGUGAUCCCAAUAUGUAAUUCCGCAAAUCAUCAGGACCAUAUGUUCUCUGAGCCUGUCCAAAUCUACCUGCAGGUUGAGAUAUUCAUUAUAUGCUUGUCUUGAUAUGAGUUGGAAAAGCUCUGCCAAGUUAAAGGGCCUCAUUUAAGGAAUUAUUGUAGCAUGUUGCUAGACCUACUUGGUAGGGAACAUAUUGCAUCCACUAAGGAUUAUUCAGGUUGUUAUUUUAGCUAUUCAAAUUAUGAAUCUAAAAACAAUAAUCACAUACAAGAGGCUAUGAUAAAUGAUAUGUAUGCUUCAAAUUUUAAUGCCACUAGCAUCAUACAAAAUGCACCUAUGUACUUUCAUAUAUUGCAUGGCAACAAGUUAUCCUGCUGUUGAACAAUUGACAAGGCUGAACUGAUGACUUUAUCAAUGCUAGUUAUUCGGGAUGAAGAAUGCUGCUGAGCUUAUUCAGCAAUAGGUUGACGACAGUAAUAGAAAGUAGGGCAAAAAGACCAUAUGGAAUCCCACCUUGUUAGAUUGUUCUCUUGCAACAUUAAAUUCUGCAAUCUUGUGUGAUGGAUGUCUUCAUAGCUCCUCUUGAUCUCUUUUCUCUAUGGAGCUCUAUCAGGUUGAGGGGCAUGAGCCCCUCUAUCUCCACGUUUGAUCCUCCUCUUAAAGCUCUAGUGACUGCCAGACGUAUCUAGAUGCAUUCCAAGUUCGGCUUGAUGAAUCAUAAGAAUAAAUUAAGUUCUUGAGGCUUGAUGAAUGGAACAACUCCUCUGGAGUGUCUCCCUCUGUGUUGAUGGAGUUGAGAUCCAAAUAUUCAAACUUGAUGAACUCGAUGAACUUGAAGCGACAAGCAAUAGUCCGGGUUCCUCUGUUAGAUUUGUUAGUUUUAGGUAGUGUUGUUCAAGCGGUAGAGUUAGUUCUACCUAUCUUAAUUGUGCGAGUAACUUCUAUAACUAUUGGAGUAUAUUUGGGAUAUUCUCUAUGAUAGGUAGGUUAAGAUUGUAUCCAGAUUCUACCAUACCGUAGGAGAGGCUUGCCCUCCAAGUCAUGUACCCCAAUAUAUACCGGCCUUGGUCUCAAUGCAAUACAAUCAUCCACACAUUAUACUGAAUUCUAUUCUCCUACAAUAACAAACCUACCGAUGUGCAUGUCGCGCUAGUUGUUGUUACCAGCAUAUAUCAAGUUAUCAACAAAGGUGCAUCUCUCACAAGGGUUCAAUGAAACCAACAGCCAUCCAGUUUACAUGGUAAUAGAGCCGCUCUAUUAUCUCAUAUAUGGUGGGCUCCUCUUCCAACCCAGCCCUAGUCCGUGUCUCUACUUUCGGCCACCCAGUGACGGAGGAGCUCACCACAAAUAACCACCUGCUUUUUUUUUUUUACCACCGGCACAAUGGAGUUCAGACUUACCUAGCCAGUGAAGUACACUACCAUGUACUGACCUUUGACAACAUGGUAUAAUAAUAAUAAUAAUAAUAAUAAUAAUAAUAAUAAUACAUUAAGCAUCAGAUUUGUUUUAUAACAAUGAUGCAUAUAUAGAUAGCAAGUGUGUUGCAUCUAAAGUCUUGUUUGGGGAUCUAAAAUAUGGUCUAAAAGCCCAGUUUAUUCGAGGCUAUGAUGGGGGCUAAAUAGGUGUGCCCCUUCCAGGCCUAAAAUCAUUCUCUCAAGCUUGGGUCCAGCCUAAUUCAUCUUUCUAUCAGUUUGAAAUGUUUUUGGGCUAAUUUCUAUAUCUCUCCGCCUUUUGGAUGUCACAUUGUAACAACAGACAGCUUCAUAUAUUUUCCUGUGAUGCAGGGGCCAGGAUAAUUUUAUUCCAUUACUAUCUACUAACAUUUUGUUUAUGUGCAACUGAAAGCAUCAUUUCAACAAGAAUGGAGAAGCUAGCAGAAGAAUAUGGUUGCAAGAGAAUUAGACAAGGUAUAUGCCCAUAUAAGGUUAUUGUGAUCAACAAGUCAAAUGCUAAUCUGUAUACCAUAUAUAAACGGAACCCACUAAACCUCAUUUAUUGUUUCCACAUUGAGCCACAUCAUCUACAAGAUUAUUAUGUCCAUCCAAUUUUAAGCCCAAGUUCAAUCAUAUUCGUCAUUCUUCAUCCGCGUUCAGGUCUUUCCAUCUCCUGUAGUCUGGCUGUAGGUUUUUUAUUUGCCAACUUAUGUAAAUUAAGAAGAUUGGGUCACUAUAUUUUGUAUUUUUCCCAAAAAAUGUGGUUAUAAGAAUUUUGUUCACUGAUGAAAUUUAAAGCCUUUAUUUACA
Molecule: long non-coding RNA, 3282 nt
Organism: Panicum virgatum (switchgrass)
Lineage: Eukaryota; Viridiplantae; Streptophyta; Magnoliopsida; Poales; Poaceae
Exons: 2
Source: RefSeq, a predicted model, not a curated record